UAGGGAAUCUUCCACAAUGGACGCAAGUCUGAUGGAGCAACGCCGCGUGAGUGAAGAAGGUUUUCGGAUCGUAAAGCUCUGUUGUUGGUGAAGAAGGAUAGAGGCAGUAACUGGUCUUUAUUUGACGGUAAUCAACCAGAAAGUCACGGCUAACUACGUGCCAGCAGCCGCGGUAAUACGUAGGUGGCAAGCGUUGUCCGGAUUUAUUGGGCGUAAAGCGAGCGCAGGCGGAAUGAUAAGUCUGAUGUGAAAGCCCACGGCUAAACCGUGGAACUGCAUCGGAAACUGUCAUUCUUGAGUGCAGAAGAGGAGAGUGGAAUUCCAUGUGUAGCGAUGGAAUGCGUAGAUAUAUGGAAGAACACCAGUGGCGAAGGCGGCUCUCUGGUCUGCAACUGACGCUGAGGCUCGAAAGAAUGGGUAGCGAACAGG
RNAcentral lists this ribosomal RNA (429 nucleotides) under bacterium. Its description in RNAcentral is "partial 16S ribosomal RNA". It matches the Rfam family "Bacterial small subunit ribosomal RNA", at positions 355 to 776 of the family's 1533-position model. The record is from RNAcentral.